RNAcentral lists this ribosomal RNA (496 nucleotides) under uncultured bacterium. RNAcentral describes it as "partial 16S ribosomal RNA". It matches the Rfam family "Bacterial small subunit ribosomal RNA", at positions 28 to 506 of the family's 1533-position model. The record is from RNAcentral.
GAUGAACGCUGGCGGCGUGCCUAAUACAUGCAAGUCGAGCGAACAGACGAGGAGCUUGCUCCUCUGACGUUAGCGGCGGACGGGUGAGUAACACGUGGAUAACCUACCUAUAAGACUGGGAUAACUUCGGGAAACCGGAGCUAAUACCGGAUAAUAUAUUGAACCGCAUGGUUCAAUAGUGAAAGACGGUUUUGCUGUCACUUAUAGAUGGAUCCGCGCCGCAUUAGCUAGUUGGUAAGGUAACGGCUUACCAAGGCAACGAUGCGUAGCCGACCUGAGAGGGUGAUCGGCCACACUGGAACUGAGACACGGUCCAGACUCCUACGGGAGGCAGCAGUAGGGAAUCUUCCGCAAUGGGCGAAAGCCUGACGGAGCAACGCCGCGUGAAUGAUGAAGGUCUUCGGAUCGUAAAACUCUGUUAUUAGGGAAGAACAAAUGUGUAAGUAACUAUGCACGUCUGGACGGUACCUAAUCAGAAAGCCACGGCUAACUACGU